Molecule: ribosomal RNA, 371 nt
Filed under: uncultured eukaryote
Lineage: Eukaryota
Description: SSU rRNA
Rfam family: Eukaryotic small subunit ribosomal RNA
Source: RNAcentral
CCAGCAGCCGCGGUAAUUCCAGCUCCAAUAGCGUAUAUUAGAGUUGUUGUGGUUAAAAAGCUCGUAGUUGGAUCUCGGCGGGCAGCAGUCGGUGAGGACGAUUCCUAUACUGGCUUGUUUGCUCGUGUGUUGUGUCGGAGGCGGGCAAGUGCUCUUAAUCGAGUGUUUGUCCGAGCCGGCAGGUUUACUUUGAAAAAAUUAGAGUGCUCAAAGCAAGCUCCACCGCUUGAAUAUUCGUGCAUGGAAUAAUAGAAUAGGAAGUCGUUUCUAUUUUGUUGGUUUUUCGGAAAUCGACUUAAUGAUUAAUAGGGACAGUCGGGGGCAUUUGUAUUCAAACGACAGAGGUGAAAUUCUUGGACCGUUUGAAGACA